Molecule: ribosomal RNA, 783 nt
Filed under: uncultured bacterium
Lineage: Bacteria
Description: bacterial SSU rRNA
Rfam family: Bacterial small subunit ribosomal RNA
Source: RNAcentral
AGAGUUUGAUCCUGGCUCAGAACGAACGCUGGCGGCGUGCUUAACACAUGCAAGUCGAGUGCGCGCCUGUAGCAAUACAGGUGGCGCACGGCGCACGGGUGCGUAACACGUGGGGUAAUCUGCCCUUUGAUGGGGAAUAACUCGCCGAAAGGCGAGCUAAUUCCGCAUAAUAUUCCGGGAACUUAUGUUUCUGGACUGAAAGGCGUAAGUCGUCGGAGGAGGAGCCCGCGCACGAUUAGCUAGUUGGUAGGGUAAUGGCCUACCAAGGCUUUGAUCGUUAGCUGGUCUGAGAGGAUGGCCAGCCACACUGGAACUGAGACACGGUCCAGACUCCUACGGGAGGCAGCAGUGGGGAAUCUUGCACAAUGGGCGAAAGCCUGAUGCAGCGACGCCGCGUGGGGGAUGAAGCUUCUCGGAGUGUAAACCCCUUUCGAUCCGGACGAAACCCCGCAAGGGAUUGACGGUACGGAUAUAAGAAGCCCCGGCUAACUACGUGCCAGCAGCCGCGGUAAUACGUAGGGGGCCAGCGUUGUUCGGAAUUACUGGGUGUAAAGGGUUCGUAGGCGGUGUGGCAAGUUGGGAGUGAAAUCUCUGGGCUCAACCCAGAGACGGCUUCCAAAACUGCCGUGCUUGAGUGUGGGAGAGGCUCGUGGAAUUGCAGGUGUAGCGGAAAUGCGUAGAUAUCUGCAGGAACACCCGUGGCGAAAGCGGCGAGCUGGACCACUACUGACGCUGAAGAACGAAAGCUAGGGGAGCAAACAGGAUUAGAUACCCUAGUAGUCC